UUCUGCUCGGUGGUAUCUUAACAGCCGCAGUACUCUGACUGUGCAAAGGUAGCAUAAUCAAUUGGCCUUUAACUGAGGUCUGGGAUGAACGAAUAUAUGGGGGGUUGCUGUCUCAAUGGGGUUACUUGAAAUUAGUGCGGAAGUGCAAAUACUUUCAAGUCUAAAAUAGACGAGAAGACCCUAGAAACUUGUUUAUUACUUUUGCUGGGGCGGCAGAAUUACAUUUAAACUAAUUUUAAUUUACGUGACGUAUAGCUGUAAGUUUAAGUUACUCUAGGGAUAACAGCAUAAUUCUAUUUAUUUGUGACCUCGAUGUUGGACUAGGUUUAGCAACCCCUAAAAGGGGUUGUUAAUUGCUCUGUUCGAGCAUAUAACACCUACGUGAUCUGAUUUCAGACCGGA
Molecule: ribosomal RNA, 402 nt
Filed under: Cepaea hortensis
Lineage: Eukaryota; Metazoa; Mollusca; Gastropoda; Stylommatophora; Helicidae
Description: partial 16S ribosomal RNA
Rfam family: Bacterial large subunit ribosomal RNA
Source: RNAcentral